UGGGUAGGGGAGCGUCGUGUGCCGGGUGAAGCCGCGCCGGAAGGCAGUGGUGGACGGUUCACGAGUGAGAAUGCAGGCAUGAGUAGCGAUACAGGAGUGGGAAACUCCUGCGCCGAUUGACCAAGGGUUCCUGGGUCAAGCUGAUCUGCCCAGGGUAAGUCGGGGCCUAAGGCGAGGCCGACAGGCGUAGUCGAUGGAUAACCGGUUGAUAUUCCGGUACCCGCUGUGGAGCGCAAGGGCCGAGCCCGGUGAUGCUAAGUCCGUGAAGCCGCCCGUGCCCUUCGGGGUGCGGUGUUGGUGGAGCCGACGGCCCGAUCCGGUAGUAGGUGAGUGAUGGGGUGACGCAGGAAGGUAGUCCAGCCCGGGCGGUGGUUGUCCCGGGGUAAGGGUGUAGCCCGUUGUGCAGGUAAAUCCGUGCAACAUUCGAGGGUGAGACCUGAUGCCGAGCCGAUGUGGUGAAGUGGAUGAUCCUAUGCUGUCGAGAAAAGCCUCUAGCGAGUUGCACGGCGGCCCGUACCCUAAACCGACUCAGGUGGUCUGGUAGAGAAUACCGAGGCGUUCGGGUGAACUAUGGUUAAGGAACUCGGCAAAAUGCCCCCGUAACUUCGGGAGAAGGGGGGCCACACCCGGUGAUCGCCCAUGCGGUGUGAGCUGGGGGUGGCCGCAGAGACCAGCGAGAAGCGACUGUUUACUAAAAACACAGGUCCGUGCGAAGCCGUAAGGCGAGGUAUACGGACUGACGCCUGCCCGGUGCUGGAACGUUAAGGGGACCGGUUAGUGGUGCUUCGGCGCCGCGAAGCUGAGAACUUAAGCGCCAGUAAACGGCGGUGGUAACUAUAACCAUCCUAAGGUAGCGAAAUUCCUUGUCGGGUAAGUUCCGACCUGCACGAAUGGCGUAACGACUUCUCGACUGUCUCAACCAUAGGCCCGGUGAAAUUGCACUACGAGUAAAGAUGCUCGUUUCGCGCAGCAGGACGGAAAGACCCCGGGACCUUUACUACAGCUUGAUAUUGGUGUUCGGUUCGGCUUGUGUAGGAUAGGUGGGAGCCGGUGAAGCAUGCACGCCAGUGUGUGUGGAGGCGUUGUUGAAAUACCACUCUGGUCGUGCUGGAUGUCUAACCCGGGUCCGUGAUCCGGAUCGGGGACAGUGUCUGGUGGGUAGUUUAACUGGGGCGGUUGCCUCCCAAAGGGUAACGGAGGCGCCCAAAGGUUCCCUCAGCCUGGUUGGUCAUCAGGUGGUGAGUGUAAGUGCACAAGGGAGCUUGACUGUGAGACUGACGGGUCGAGCAGGGACGAAAGUCGGGACUAGUGAUCCGGCGGUGGCUGGUGGAAGCGCCGUCGCUCAACGGAUAAAAGGUACCCCGGGGAUAACAGGCUGAUCUUCCCCAAGAGUCCAUAUCGACGGGAUGGUUUGGCACCUCGAUGUCGGCUCGUCGCAUCCUGGGGCUGGAGUCGGUCCCAAGGGUUGGGCUGUUCGCCCAUUAAAGCGGUACGCGAGCUGGGUUUAGAACGUCGUGAGACAGUUCGGUCCCUAUCCGCUGUGCGCGUAGGAGUCUUGAGAAGGGCUGUCCCUAGUACGAGAGGACCGGGACGGACGAACCUCUGGUGUGCCAGUUGUUCUGCCAAGGGCAUGGCUGGUUGGCUACGUUCGGGAGGGAUAACCGCUGAAAGCAUCUAAGCGGGAAGCCUGCUUCGAGAUGAGGACUCCCACCCCUUGAAGGGGGUAAGGCUCCCGGGAGACGACCGGGUUGAUAGGCCAGAGAUGGAAGCCGGGUGACCGGUGGAGUUGACUGGUACUAAUAGGCCGAGGGCUUGUCCGU
This 1820-nucleotide ribosomal RNA is filed under the name Streptomyces radiopugnans. Its description in RNAcentral is "Bacterial large subunit ribosomal RNA". It matches the Rfam family "Bacterial large subunit ribosomal RNA", at positions 1225 to 2925 of the family's 2925-position model. The record is from Rfam by way of RNAcentral. Lineage: Bacteria; Bacillati; Actinomycetota; Actinomycetes; Kitasatosporales; Streptomycetaceae.